GCGUGGGUACCUGCCUCAUACAGGGGGAUAACAGUUAGAAAUGACUGCUAAUACCGCAUAAGACCGCAUGGUAAAAACUCCGGUGGUAUGAGAUGGACCCGCGUCUGAUUAGCUGGUUGGCGGGGUAACGGCCCACCAAGGCGACGAUCAGUAGACGACCUGAGAGGGUGACCGGCCACAUUGGGACUGAGACACGAUCCAAACUCAUACGGGAGGCAGCAAUGUGGAAUAUUGCACAAUGGGGGAAACCCUGAUGCAUCCACGCCGCGUGAGUGAAGAAGUAUUUCGGUAUGUAAAGCUCUAUCAGCAGGGAAGAAAGUGACGGUACCUGACUAAGAAGCCCCGGCUAACUACCUGCCAGCAGCCGCGGUAAUACGUAGGGGGCAAGCGUUAU
This 394-nucleotide ribosomal RNA is filed under the name uncultured bacterium. RNAcentral's name for it is "bacterial SSU rRNA". It matches the Rfam family "Bacterial small subunit ribosomal RNA", at positions 115 to 544 of the family's 1533-position model. The record is from RNAcentral.